UACGUAGGGGCAAGCGUUAUCCGGAUUUACCGGGUGUAAAGGGAGCGUAGACGGCCAAGCAAGUCUGAAGUGAAAGCUCGGGGCUCAACCCCGGAACUGCUUUGGAAACUGUGAGGCUGGAGUGCAGGAGAGGUAAGCGGAAUUCCUAGUGUAGCGGUGAAAUGCGUAGAUAUUAGGAGGAACACCAGAGGCGAAGGCGGCUUACUGGACCGUAACUGACGUUGAGGCUCGAAGGCGUGGGGAGCAAACA
Molecule: ribosomal RNA, 250 nt
Filed under: uncultured prokaryote
Description: partial 16S ribosomal RNA
Rfam family: Bacterial small subunit ribosomal RNA
Source: RNAcentral